Molecule: ribosomal RNA, 452 nt
Filed under: uncultured Bacteroidales bacterium
Lineage: Bacteria; Pseudomonadati; Bacteroidota; Bacteroidia; Bacteroidales
Description: bacterial SSU rRNA
Rfam family: Bacterial small subunit ribosomal RNA
Source: RNAcentral
CGGGGGGCAGCAGUGAGGAAUAUUGGUCAAUGGGCGCGAGCCUGAACCAGCCAUCCCGCGUGCAGGAAGAAUGCCCUAUGGGUUGUAAACUGCUUUUUCGCAUGAAGAACACUCCGGACGUGUCUGGAGCUGACGGUAGUGCGUGAAUAAGCACCGGCUAACUCCGUGCCAGCAGCCGCGGUAAUACGGAGGGUGCAAGCGUUAUCCGGAUUUAUUGGGUUUAAAGGGUGCGUAGGCGGCAUUUUAAGUCAGUGGUGAAAUCCUGCAGCUUAACUGUAGAACAGCCAUUGAAACUGAAGUACUUGAGUAAUCUUGAAGUAGGCGGAAUGUGUAGUGUAGCGGUGAAAUGCUUAGAUAUUACACAGAACACCGAUUGCGAAGGCAGCUUACUAAGGAUUUACUGACGCUGAUGCACGAAAGCGUGGGGAUCAAACAGGAUUAGAUACCCCGGU